RNAcentral lists this transfer RNA (77 nucleotides) under Bacillus velezensis. RNAcentral's name for it is "tRNA-Pro". It matches the Rfam family "tRNA". From Rfam's summary of the family: Transfer RNA (tRNA) molecules are approximately 80 nucleotides in length. Lineage: Bacteria; Bacillati; Bacillota; Bacilli; Caryophanales; Bacillaceae. The record is from RNAcentral.
CGGGAAGUAGCUCAGCUUGGUAGAGCACAUGGUUUGGGACCAUGGGGUCGCGGGUUCGAAUCCUGUCUUCCCGACCA